AUUGAACGCUGGCGGCAGACCUAACACAUGCAAGUCGAACGGUAACAGGAAACAGCUUGCUGUUUCGCUGACGAGUGGCGGACGGGUGAGUAAUGUCUGGGAAACUGCCUGAUGGAGGGGGAUAACUACUGGAAACGGUAGCUAAUACCGCAUAACGUCGCAAGACCAAAGAGGGGGACCUUCGGGCCUCUUGCCAUCGGAUGUGCCCAGAUGGGAUUAGCUAGUAGGUGGGGUAACGGCUCACCUAGGCGACGAUCCCUAGCUGGUCUGAGAGGAUGACCAGCCACACUGGAACUGAGACACGGUCCAGACUCCUACGGGAGGCAGCAGUGGGGAAUAUUGCACAAUGGGCGCAAGCCUGAUGCAGCCAUGCCGCGUGUAUGAAGAAGGCCUUCGGGUUGUAAAGUACUUUCAGCGGGGAGGAAGGGAGUAAAGUUAAUACCUUUACUCAUUGACGUUACCCGCAGAAGAAGCACCGGCUAACUCCGUG
RNAcentral lists this ribosomal RNA (490 nucleotides) under uncultured bacterium. RNAcentral describes it as "partial 16S ribosomal RNA". It matches the Rfam family "Bacterial small subunit ribosomal RNA", at positions 30 to 507 of the family's 1533-position model. The record is from RNAcentral.